This 1368-nucleotide long non-coding RNA is filed under the name Nicotiana tabacum (common tobacco). RNAcentral's name for it is "long non-coding RNA (NTAB_LNC016154)". Lineage: Eukaryota; Viridiplantae; Streptophyta; Magnoliopsida; Solanales; Solanaceae. The record is from RNAcentral.
UUGUUUUUUCCUAUUUGGCUUCUUUUUUGAGGAAAAAAAGAAGGGAGUAGGGUUUCAUCCUUUAACAUGCAAGAUCUCUCCUUUUAACUGGUUUUUGAGACAUCCCUUUUAGGGAAAAGGGAUGAAUUUGUUGCUAGAAAUAUGUUAGGUAUACUGAAACAUGAAUUCUAUGAACAGAUCUAAAUAUAGGCAUGUACUUCCUAUAGCUAUAUCCCUAAGCGAAAAUUCUUUUAAGGGGUGAUGGUUUUAUUCUUCUGGUCAAGAAACAGAUCUGGUAAAGAAAAUGAAGUCUUACCCCUUCCUUUUGUUUGCAAGUCUUUUCAUACAUAGUUUUUAGCACCCCCCAAAAAAAGGUGAAAGCUAUAUGGUUGAAUUUAUGUGCCUAUGACACAUCAAAUGUUGAUUGAUUAGCUCCCUCUCUUUAUUAUAACCUGAUUUCACUGUUUUUAUUUUAUUUUUGAGUUCUUAAGUUUUGAUAAAUUGGUUCUUGGAUUGAAAACAGAACUUGGACAAUGAAAUCAACAAAGUCAAGAAAGACAAUGACAACAUGCAAAUUGAACUCAAGUAAAUUAAACAUCAUUAGUAUGGCUUCUAACUUUUCUCUUCACUCCCUCUCCUCCCACCUAUAUCACAAGAAGCAAAUUCAUAAUUUAACUUUAAUAUUUUUAGAAUAAAACAUAUUAUACUUCUGAAAUUAUGAUGUUCAAACUUAAUAUUUGUUGAAACAUUAAUUAUUUUUGUAUAUAUAUCUAUAUUCCUCAUGUCGACAAUAUUGGGUUUAUCAGUUGAAUCGGCCAUUAAAAAUAGUUGCAUCCACCUCUACCACACCCACCCACCAACCCCUCUUGACCCAAUAAAAAAAAGAAAAGUAUGUACCCUUGGAAUAGUCGAGGUGAGCUAAUUAAGCGGGCGGAAAAGAAGAAGAAGAAGAAGAAGAAAAGUAGUAUGAAAGAAUAAAUUUAUUAAAAAAAAUAAAAUCUUUGGCUUAAUGUUUAUCCUUGAGUUGUUUUAGGCACCUAAAGGGGGAAGAUAUAACAUCUUUGAACCACAGAGAGCUGAUGAUGUUGGAAGAUGCCCUUGAAAAUGGACUAACUAGUAUCCGUAACAAGCAGGUAGUACUCAUUCUACAACUAACUUUUCCUUUAAUUUUUUGUAUUAAUGUGCUAUUGGAAUUAGUCCACACUUUGAUUGCGUUCUUGUUUGUUACCUUAUGAUAUAGAAUGAGUUUCUGAGGAUGAUGAGGAAAAAGGUAUGUCAAGCACCAAUGUGCCUAUAUAUUUUCUGUUCAAAAUUUCCUUUUUUUUUAACUGUUUGCUCUUAAUUUACUGUUUUCAAUUAUAUGUUCUAACCUACUGUGGUCUUUGGAUG